GACGAACGCUGGCGGCGUGCUUAACACAUGCAAGUCGAACGGAAAGGCCCUGCUUUUGUGGGGUGCUCGAGUGGCGAACGGGUGAGUAACACGUGAGUAACCUGCCCUUGACUUUGGGAUAACUUCAGGAAACUGGGGCUAAUGCCGGAUAGGAGCUCCUGCUGCAUGGUGGGGGUUGGAAAGUUUCGGCGGUUGGGGAUGGACUCGCGGCUUAUCAGCUUGUUGGUGGGGUAGUGGCUUACCAAGGCUUUGACGGGUAGCCGGCCUGAGAGGGUGACCGGCCACAUUGGGACUGAGAUACGGCCCAGACUACUACGGGAGGCAGCAGUGGGGAAUAUUGCACAAUGGGCGGAAGCCUGAUGCAGCAACGCCGCGUGCGGGAUGACGGCCUUCGGGUUGUAAACCGCUUUCGCCUGUGACGAAGCGUGAGUGACGGUAAUGGGUAAAGAAGCACCGGCUAACUACGUG
This 468-nucleotide ribosomal RNA is filed under the name uncultured bacterium. Its description in RNAcentral is "partial 16S ribosomal RNA". It matches the Rfam family "Bacterial small subunit ribosomal RNA", at positions 28 to 507 of the family's 1533-position model. The record is from RNAcentral.